Molecule: ribosomal RNA, 250 nt
Filed under: uncultured bacterium
Lineage: Bacteria
Description: partial 16S ribosomal RNA
Rfam family: Bacterial small subunit ribosomal RNA
Source: RNAcentral
AUUGAACGCUGGCGGAAUGCUUUACACAUGCAAGUCGAACGGCAGCACGGGUGCUUGCACCUGGUGGCGAGUGGCGAACGGGUGAGUAAUAUAUCGGAACGUAUCCAAUAAUGGGGGAUAACUAGCCGAAAGGUUAGCUAAUACCGCAUACGCCCUGAGGGGGAAAGCUGGGGAUCGUAAGACCUAGCGUUGAUGGAGCGGCCGAUAUCUGAUUAGCUAGUUGGUGGGGUAAGAGCCUACCAAGGCGACG